UCAUCAUCAUAAACCUCUCUUCAAGAAACCAAUUCCAUUUAUUAAACCUGUUCCAAAACCAAUUCCAUUUGUAAAACCAAUUCCCAUUUAUAAGCCUUAUCCCAAACCAGUUCCAGUUCCGGUUUAUAAGCCAAUUCCAGUUUAUAAGCCAGUUCCGAUUUAUAAGCCAAUUCCAAAGCCAGUUCCAGUUUAUAAGCCUGUUCCAAUUUAUAAGCCAGUUCCAAAGCCAGUUCCUAUUUAUAAGCCAAUUCCAAAACCGGUUCCAGUUUAUAAGCCAAUUCCAAAACCAGUUCCAGUUUAUAAGCCAGUUCCAAUUUAUAAGCCAAUUCCAAAACCGGUUCCUAUUUAUAAGCCAAUUCCAAAACCAGUUCCAGUUUAUAAGCCAAUUCCAAAACCAGUUCCAGUUUAUAAGCCAAUUCCAAAGCCAGUUCCAGUUUAUAAGCCAAUUCCAAAGCCAGUUCCAGUUUAUAAGCCAGUUCCAAUUUAUAAGCCUAUUCCAAAACCAGUUCCUAUUUAUAAGCCUAUUCCAAAACCGGUUCCUAUUUAUAAGCCUAUUCCAAAACCGGUUCCAGUAUACAAGCCUGUUCCAAUUCCAGUGUUUAAGCCUAUACCAAAACCAGUACCCUUUUAUAAGCCAAUUCCUGUUUUUAAGCCAGUUCCAACCCCAUUUCCUAUUAUCAAGC
This 683-nucleotide long non-coding RNA is filed under the name Phaseolus vulgaris (common bean). Its description in RNAcentral is "long non-coding RNA (PVUL_LNC000466)". Lineage: Eukaryota; Viridiplantae; Streptophyta; Magnoliopsida; Fabales; Fabaceae. The record is from RNAcentral.